This 653-nucleotide ribosomal RNA is filed under the name Parapteronemobius sp. 1 ZQH-2021c. RNAcentral's name for it is "SSU rRNA". It matches the Rfam family "Eukaryotic small subunit ribosomal RNA", at positions 1144 to 1804 of the family's 1831-position model. Lineage: Eukaryota; Metazoa; Arthropoda; Insecta; Orthoptera; Trigonidiidae. The record is from RNAcentral.
UUAAAGGAAUUGACGGAAGGGCACCACCAGCCGUGGAGCAUGCGGCUUAAUUUGACUCAACGCGGGGCACCUUACCAGGCCCGGACACUAGUAGGAUUGACAGAUUGAGAGCUCUUUCUUAAUUUGGUGGGUGGUGGUGCAUGGCCGUUCUUAGUUGGUGGAGUGAUUUGUCUGCUUAAUUGCGAUAACGAACGAGACUCUAGUCUAUUAAGUAGUCUACCGACAUCCUUGGUUGCAGUCGGAGAAAUUACUAUCUUCUUAGAGAGACAGACGGCCUUCAGUCGUACGAAAUUGAGCAAUAACAGGUCUGGUAUGCCCUUAGAUGUCCUGGGCCGCACGCGCGCUACACUGAAGGUAUCAAAGUGUGUUUUCCUAGCCUGAGAAGGCCGGGUAACCCGCUGAAACCCCUUCGUGCUUGGGAUUGGGGCUUGCAAUUAUUCCCCACCAACGAGGAAUGCCCAGUAAACGUGAGUCAUAAGCUCACGUUGAUUACGUCCCUGCCCUUUGUCCACACCGCCCGUCGCUACUACCGAUUGAAUGAUUUAGUGAGGUCUUCGGACUGAGCCACCAUCUCCUUUGCGGGAGAUUGGUGAACUCGGGAAGAUGACCGAACUUGAUCAUUUAGAGGAAGUAAAAGUCGUAACAAGGUUUCC